UUUUAAAUGUAAGUAUGUCCUAUGCAAUAUUUGGGACAUACUUAUACAAAAA
This is a microRNA precursor of Homo sapiens (human), 52 nucleotides long. It matches the Rfam family "mir-1302 microRNA precursor family". The record is from Rfam. Lineage: Eukaryota; Metazoa; Chordata; Mammalia; Primates; Hominidae.